Molecule: ribosomal RNA, 467 nt
Filed under: uncultured bacterium
Lineage: Bacteria
Description: partial 16S ribosomal RNA
Rfam family: Bacterial small subunit ribosomal RNA
Source: RNAcentral
GACGAACGCUGGCGGCGUGCUUAACACAUGCAAGUCGAACGGAAAGGCCUCUUUCGGGGGGUACUCGAGUGGCGAACGGGUGAGUAACACGUGAGUAACCUGCCCUUGACUUUGGGAUAACUUCAGGAAACUGGGGCUAAUACCGGAUAGGAGCUCCUGCUGCAUGGUGGGGGUUGGAAAGUUUCGGCGGUUGGGGAUGGACUCGCGGCUUAUCAGCUUGUUGGUGGGGUAGUGGCUUACCAAGGCGUUGACGGGUAGCCGGCCUGAGAGGGUGACCGGCCACAUUGGGACUGAGAUACGGCCCAGACACCUACGGGAGGAAGCAGUGGGGAAUAUUGCACAAUGGGUGGAGGCCUGAUGCAGCAACGCCGUGUGCGGGAUGACGGCCUUCGGGUUGUAAACCGCUUUCGCUCAUGACGAAGCUUUGUGUGACGGUAGUGGGUAAAGAAGCACCGGCUAACUACGUG